This 750-nucleotide ribosomal RNA is filed under the name uncultured bacterium. Its description in RNAcentral is "bacterial SSU rRNA". It matches the Rfam family "Bacterial small subunit ribosomal RNA", at positions 43 to 782 of the family's 1533-position model. The record is from RNAcentral.
CAGGCCUAACACAUGCAAGUCGGACGGGAUCCAUCGGAGAGCUUGCUCGAAGAUGGUGAGAGUGGCGCACGGGUGCGUAACGCGUGAGCAACCUACCUCUAUCAGGGGGAUAGCCUCUCGAAAGAGAGAUUAACACCGCAUAACAUAUCUGACCGGCAUCGGUUAGCUAUUAAAUAUUUAUAGGAUAGAGAUGGGCUCGCGUGACAUUAGCUAGUUGGUAGGGUAACGGCUUACCAAGGCGACGAUGUCUAGGGGCUCUGAGAGGAGAAUCCCCCACACUGGUACUGAGACACGGACCAGACUCCUACGGGAGGCAGCAGUAAGGAAUAUUGGUCAAUGGGCGGAAGCCUGAACCAGCCAUGCCGCGUGCAGGAUGACUGCCCUAUGGGUUGUAAACUGCUUUUGUCCAGGAAUAAACCUAGAUACGUGUAUCUAGCUGAAUGUACUGGAAGAAUAAGGAUCGGCUAACUCCGUGCCAGCAGCCGCGGUAAUACGGAGGAUCCGAGCGUUAUCCGGAUUUAUUGGGUUUAAAGGGUGCGUAGGCGGCCUAUUAAGUCAGGGGUGAAAUACGGUGGCUCAACCAUCGCAGUGCCUUUGAUACUGAUGGGCUUGAAUCCAUUUGAAGUGGGCGGAAUAAGACAAGUAGCGGUGAAAUGCAUAGAUAUGUCUUAGAACUCCGAUUGCGAAGGCAGCUCACUAAGCUGGUAUUGACGCUGAUGCACGAAAGCGUGGGGAUCGAACAGGAUUAGA